GAUGAACGCUGGCGGCGUGCCUAAUACAUGCAAGUCGAGCGAACGGACGAGAAGCUUGCUUCUCUGAUGUUAGCGGCGGACGGGUGAGUAACACGUGGAUAACCUACCUAUAAGACUGGGAUAACUUCGGGAAACCGGAGCUAAUACCGGAUAAUAUUUUGAACCUCAUGGUUCAAAAGUGAAAGACGGUCUUGCUGUCACUUAUAGAUGGAUCCGCGCUGCAUUAGCUAGUUGGUAAGGUAACGGCUUACCAAGGCAACGAUGCAUAGCCGACCUGAGAGGGUGAUCGGCCACACUGGAACUGAGACACGGUCCAGACUCCUACGGGAGGCAGCAGUAGGGAAUCUUCCGCAAAGGGCGAAAGCCUGACGGAGCAACGCCGCGUGAGUGAUGAAGGUCUUCGGAUCGUAAAACUCUGUUAUUAGGGAAGAACAUAUGUGUAAGUAACUGUGCACAUCUUGACGGUACCUAAUCAGAAAGCCACGGCUAACUACGUG
This 497-nucleotide ribosomal RNA is filed under the name uncultured bacterium. RNAcentral's name for it is "partial 16S ribosomal RNA". It matches the Rfam family "Bacterial small subunit ribosomal RNA", at positions 28 to 507 of the family's 1533-position model. The record is from RNAcentral.